Molecule: ribosomal RNA, 253 nt
Filed under: uncultured bacterium
Lineage: Bacteria
Description: partial 16S ribosomal RNA
Rfam family: Bacterial small subunit ribosomal RNA
Source: RNAcentral
UACGUAGGGUGCGAGCGUUGUCCGGAAUUAUUGGGCGUAAAGAGCUUGUAGGCGGUUUGUCGCGUCUGCUGUGAAAAUCCGGGGCUCAACCCCGGACUUGCAGUGGGUACGGGCAGACUAGAGUGUGGUAGGGGAGACUGGAAUUCCUGGUGUAGCGGUGGAAUGCGCAGAUAUCAGGAGGAACACCGAUGGCGAAGGCGGUCUGCUGGGCAGUAGCUGACACUGAGGCGCGACAGCGUGGGGAGCGAACAGG